RNAcentral lists this unclassified non-coding RNA (282 nucleotides) under Hevea brasiliensis (rubber tree). Lineage: Eukaryota; Viridiplantae; Streptophyta; Magnoliopsida; Malpighiales; Euphorbiaceae. The record is from RNAcentral.
GGCCUUUCUAGCAGACUUUACUUCUAUCAAGAUCCAGGUACACAUCCUGCUAGAAGAAUAUGGACAUCUCUGGAUGUGGGAACAGAAAUUUUUGUUAGCGACAAAGAUGAAGUGGCAGAAUGGACUCUGAGUGAUUUUGAUGUUCUACUUACCUCGUAAAACCGAAAUUAUGUUGCCAUUCCAUUCAACAUUGUAACUGUAGCCAAAUUAUGUUACACCAAGUAACUGUAAUAUUGUACCUGUAGCCAAAUUAUGUUACACCAAGUAACUGUAAUAUUGUAC